AUUAGGGUUUGUGGAAAAAGAAAGAGUGGUUUUGUGGCAGCUCUUUCUUUACAAUUGAAAUCUGAGAAAAAUUGAGAUUUAUUCUUGUACGCUGCGUCGUGGGUUUUUCGCUUUUUCGCAGUUGUAUCGCAGGUUUCGAUGGCGACUUUCAUGGUGUCCACGAACCCAGGGGCGCGUCGGAGGUCGGUGCUCGUUGCCGAGAGGAAAAUCGCCACCAACAUAAAGCUCCUCGCCAACGACAUCGCCGCCUCCCCCGCAGUCGCGACUUCCGGCAAAGGUGCCAUGGGCGCCUGGCACAACCUUAGCCACCACGAACCUUAAUACGAAACUCCAUGGGUGUCAGGCACUCAUUUUUGUUCGAUUGAAUAUUGGUGUUUGUUUACACACCUCUUGCAACACCGAUAAUUUUUUCUUUAUUUUUUUUUUCGUUUCGUUUCGUAAGUUUGGUUUCGAUGGAAGAACUUUAUCCCUGAUUUUGUAUCGCUAAAUGAUCGUGUAUGUUAUUUUGGAAAUUAGCAUGA
Vigna radiata var. radiata (mung bean) is the source of this 521-nucleotide long non-coding RNA. RefSeq lists it as uncharacterized. The transcript has 2 exons. Lineage: Eukaryota; Viridiplantae; Streptophyta; Magnoliopsida; Fabales; Fabaceae. The record is from RefSeq and is a predicted model, not a curated record.